GCUUCGGAUAGCCUGCCGACCGAGAGGGC
RNAcentral lists this small RNA (29 nucleotides) under Bombyx mori (domestic silkworm). RNAcentral describes it as "ovarian small RNA-17148". Lineage: Eukaryota; Metazoa; Arthropoda; Insecta; Lepidoptera; Bombycidae. The record is from RNAcentral.